UUAAUUCCAAAAGAAUGGAAUAUUUAUUAUAGCUCCCUAAUAUUGGGAGGAUAUGUUAUAAAGAGAAGUCAUCCUUCCCUCGAUUUAAAUGGAUCGAAGAUCCAUAUGAAUUAUUUAGUUGAGAUGCAAAAGAUUAUGACAUGAUGACAUGAUGCAAUGCACAUGAUGACGUGACAUGAUGCAACACGCAAGCACAUGACAACGCAACAACAUCGAAUGACUGCACGACACCUGGCACAUCGGUCUCGGGGCGUUACAACACUCCACCACUACGAGAGGAUCUCGUCCCGAGAUCUAGAAUGGCACCGGGGGAAAACGGAAGAGAAAAGAGGAGAGGUAAAACUAAGUUGCUCCUUGACAAAUGAGUGAAACCACGAACCUUGAAAAGGUUGAGCCAAUUCGAGAAAAAAAUAGAACGAAGGAGAACAAAGUCGAAAACACUCCGUUAGAAAAGAGGGACAACGAGCAUUGUGAAACCCUUGAGGUUAAAGGAAAAAUAUUUAUUGAAACCACUCCGGUUAAGACAAGACAGAGAAGGAAUAAGACUUAUAUAAUUUGGAUAGCACUCCGGUUGAGAAGGGAUGCAAAAAUUGAUAAGAUGAGAAAGAACUUGAGCAGAAUGGCACCACACUCCGGUUAAAUGGAUAGGCAUGAAAAGGAACAUGAUCUUUGACAAACGAGAUGAUGGUUGAAGAAAGCAACCUCACAAUGCCUCCGGAACGAAGGGAAAACAAUAUCUUGAGAGAGCACGGUUACAACAAAUGCUAGAACGGAGUUGUUGGAGAAAACCAACAAUGGAAGAAUAAGCUUGUAGUGGGCUUAUAGAAAAACAUCUCGAAACUAGAGGUGAUAACCUGCCACUCACGGGAAAAGAAUUGUAUUGAUAUGAACAAGUAGACGAGAAACUAUAUCACCGGCAGGAUAUAUGAAGAACUUGGAUCAUAUAUGAGCACAAUUAUCACAACAAUCCUUAGGGAAGGAUUUAGGUGAAGUAUACCCCAAGAUAAAUCCAAGACGAGAUUGAUGGAUUUAAAAUAUCUCAUUCUUGACAACAUGUGAAUCAUGAUAAAUGAACUCAAAUUAUCAAGAAUGACACAAUACCACCUCCAAUGAUACGGAAGAAAGAAUAAUUGCACUCCGGAUUACGAUAUGAAGAAUGCUUGAGCACCUCUGAAAAGAAACUUGAUGAACACUUCGAGAAGGGAUUAAAUCCUUGGUGAACCAUCAUGUAGAGCCUCCAUGAAGAACUCCGGUAAUAAAAGAAUGGUCCAAAAUAAUUGAAUGAUGAAAAGAAUAAGAUUGAAGCCUCGCAAUGAUUUAGAUAGAGAUCUCCGUGAUAAUAUAAUUGAAAGAGGUUGGACUCCGGGAAAAGAGAAGAUGAAACAAAUGAAACCGAGAGUUUGAAGGGCCUCCGGAAUAAAGAAUUAAUCAUUUGGAUGAAACAAGAAUAAGAAUUACAUUAUGCUUAUCCUUCACCAAUUUAAUUGAUGAGAAACAAUGGAUUUGGCAUAUUACUUAUUCUCGUAGAAAAGAUUAAGAGAGAUAUCACAUAAACUUGAGGAAGUCUUGAACGACCCACCGGUAGAAUAGAAACAACGAAUGAAUUGAUAUGAUAACGAAAGAAGAGGAAUCUUGCACGAACCACCAUAAGAAUUGAAAAUGAACGGAGUAAGAUAAAGAAACACCGGGAAGAAUUAGCAAAUGAACGAAGAUGCUUGAGUGAAUUUAGAUCCAUGAGAACGAAAAGCCCAUGAGCCGAUUAAAAAUCACUUGAACGAAGCCCCGGUAAAAUUGGAGAAUGAUAACUGAAAGUUGAGAAUGAAAAAUCCUGAAAUAAUGGCCUUCAGAGAAUCAAACUGAAAAGACUCCUGAAUUGCUCCGGAUGGUUGAAAAGAAUAACUCACAAUCGAAAAUAAUUAUGAGAGGAUGGCAACAAGCUAGCACCAUGAAUCUUGAAGAGAAUGUAGCAAGAAUAAAGAGAAACUCUUCUUCGGUCUUCAAAAUCCAAGAAUAACGACGAGAAACACCACCAAGAAUUAUUUAGACACUCCGGAAGAAUCAAAACGAAGAGGUUGAGUCAACGAAGAAAAGAAUUUAACCGAUCUUGGAGAAAGACAUUUGACUGAUGGUAAAUCAUUCUUACGUCAAACUUUGAAAAGAAUUUGAUUAUAACUCCGGGAAAAAAGAAGAAGAGUCAGGUAAGAUCCUGGGAAAAGACCUGUGGGUUAGGGCCCACUCAAAAGAAACACCGUUAGAAUGAUUACUUGAGAAAGGAGAUUGCACCGGUUGAAUUAAAUGGCUUGAAUAAGAUAACAACCUCAAAAUAUAUUGAAUGAAUGCAGAGUGAAAAACACGAAUCUUCGAGAUAUCUUGAGCACUCCAGAACAAAUGGAUAGCGAGAAGUGAACUAUUAUGAAGUGCACCGGUAUGAGAAAAAAACGUUGAAAUACGGAAAAGAGUAUGAUCAACACCGAAAGGUUGAAUUGGUUCCUCCGGAGAAGAAAAUAAUGAAUAAUGGUGAACUAGAAACUCCGUUAGAAUUUUCAUGAGAAUCACUGGAUAAGGAUAUUGACGGAAAAGAAUGGAGAGACUUCUCAAGAAUAAGAUUAUACUGGAUUAAGAAAUCUGAAUCCUUGGAGAAAAACAAAGGGAGGGAGGGUGGGAAAAACAAAGACAAUUUGGAGAUGGAAGAAAUGAACACCGUUGAGAAGAACUGAUACUCGAUCUUGCAAAUGUUGGAAUGAUCGGAUCCACUAGAAGAGAAAGACGCCGGUUUACAAGAAAUUGAAAUGACAAACUCGAUUAUCAUGAGGGAUUGGUAUUCACAUCAAAAUAUGAGAACACCGCUUAGGAAAGAUAUGGAAUCAACUCUUGACAUUGAAGCAACUCGAAUACCACAACUCAAAAUAAAAACAAAGGGUUGGCUUGCAGAAUAAGCCGGAACAAACAUAUGAUAGAGAUUACGUCCGAAGUUUUCAUGGUGGGACCUACACGGGCUCGAUCGUACCGCACCAUCAUGUACAAGGCAGUGCACAUGACAUACGAAGCGUCCCCGAGUCAGCAUACACAAGGACUCUUUAAGACACAACGAGGCCACUGUAAAAUCGACCGUGAAUAGGCGAACCACUAGACGUCGAACCCCAAUUUCAUAUCAUACAUCCGUUGGAAAGAUAUCCUAAGAGCUACUUGAAUUCCCACCUAUGAAACUCCCGAAACUUUCCGGUUAUGCUAUCAGGUGUUGAGGAUACAAGGGAAGCAUAAUAUCUCACCCAAGCUAGCAAAUCCUACAUCCAGCUGCAUCCAUCCUUCAACACAUAACCAAGAAACCUUCGGAAACCAUCUAUCUCAACCUUCGAAAAGCAUCCGUUAUACGAGUUAUGGAGAUACUCCCGAACUCCCGCCCCAGUACUGGGUGGCGUCGAGGUUAUCUCACCAACGAACUGCAUAAAAGAGAUUUUCGAUGUCGCGAACAUAUCUCAAGUAUACCAGAAUUGCAACGAUAGAAUUAUGAUGACAACACCUCAGAGCUCAACUCCCCGGGACACUUCCACUAAACCCCUGACAGGAGGCACCAAGACAGUAUUCUCAUCAUAAGCCAUCGGAACAAAACUAAGAUACUCGCGUGAUCCUAAAAAAAAUUUAGUGAAAUUUGAGAAGAGAAGAGUCAAAACUCUACGUCAGGAUGCCUUACCAGAGCGAUGAGGAGACUGGGAAGUAAAAAGAAUUCCUAAGCUCUCCGAUAUAUAAUUCCUAAGGACUCAAAACAUUUUUCUAGACACAACUCGGCUGCUAAAAACGAUCAAGCAAUGGGGGCUCCUAAGGUCGGGGAAGGCUCUGAUUACCAACUUUUAACACCCUCGAUGCGACUAUGUCUCCCACGUGUCGAGGCACGACUUAGAGGCAUAAUCGCAUUGAAGGCAUAUGUCGCAAGUGAGGUAAUCUUCACACAACCCAUGUAAUAUAAUAAGGGAAAAAGGAUACAUAGUUGGCUUACAAUCGCCACUUCACACAAUUACAUGAAUAAACAUUACAUCAAUCAAAUGCACUCAUGGUCCGACUAUGGAACCAAAAUAAAAGAAGAACCCCAAAUGCGACAAAGGUCCCCGAUCGACCCCAACUGGGCUCCACUACUGAUCACCUAGAACGAAACAACACAAAUGAACAAGGUCUCCAACGAGCUCCUCCUGAGCUGGGUUGCGUCAUCUGCACGAACUCAUCGGCACCUGCAAGCUGGUUUUUGGAAGUAUCUGUGAGCCACAGGGACUCAGCAAUCUCGCACCCUCGCGAUCAAGACUAUUUAAGCUUAUGGGUAAGGUAAAGGUAUGAGGUGGAGCUGCAGCAAGCGACUAGCAUAUAUGGUGGCUAACAUACGCAAAUGAGAGCGAGAAGAGAAGGCAAAGCACGGUCGAUAAAAAUAUGAUCAAGAAGUGAUCCUGGACUACCUACGUCAAGCAUAACUCCAACAACCGUGUUCACUUCCCGGACUCCGCCGGAAAGAGACCAUCACGGUUACACACGCAGUUGAUUCAUUUUAAUUAAGGUCAACUUUAGGUUUUCUACAACCGGACGUUAACAAAUUCCCAUCUGCCCAUAACCGCGGGCACGGCUUUCGAAAGAUCCAAUCCCUGCAGGGGUGUCCCAACUUAGCCCAUCACAAGCUCUCACGGUCAACGAAGGAAUAGACCUCCACCCGAGACAUUCCAAUCAGACUCGGUAUCCCAGUACAACAAGACAUUUUGACAGGGUAAAACUAAACCAGCAACACCGCCCGAAUGUGCCGACAAAUCCCGAUAGGAGCUGCACAUAUCUCUUUCUCAGGGCACACUCAGAUGAGACUAGCUACGAGUAAAACCAACCCUCAAGUUUCCCCGAGGUGGCCCCGCAGGCAGCUCAGUUCGGACCAACACUCAGAGGAGCACUGGCCCGGGGGGGGGGGGUAAAAUAACGAUGACCCUUGAGCCGGCCGACUCAAGGGAAAGAAAAGGCUAGGUGGCAAAUGGUAAAACCAAUGUUGGGCAUUGCUGGAGAAGCUUUACUUAAGGCGAACUGUCAAGGGGUUCCCAUUAUAGCCCAACCGCGUAAGGGACGCAAAAUCCGGGAACAUAACACCGAUAUGACGGAAACUAGGGCGGCAAGAGUGGAACAAAACACCAGGCAUAAGGCCGAGCCUUCCACCCUUUACCAAGUAUAUAGAUGCAUUAAUUAAAUACGAUAUAUAGUGAUAUCCCCAACAAGUAAAUAAAUGUUCCAACAAGGAACAACAUCUCCAUGUCCCAACACGAAACAAACUUCAAUCUUCACCUGCAACUAACAACGCUAUAAGAGGGGCUGAGCAAAGCGGUAACAUAGCCAAUCAACGGUUUGCUAGGACAUUGGUGGGUUAGCGGCUGAACAUGGCAAUUUGGGAGGCUGACAAGCAAGUGGUAGGCAUCGUAGCAAUGGCAUAGCAAAAGAGCGAGCAAACUAGCAUAGCAAAGAUAGUAGUGAUUUCGAGGGUAUGAUCAUCUUGCCUGAAAUCCCGCAAGGAAGAAGAACGAAACCAUGAAGAAGACAACCGGACGUAGGCGAACGGGUCCUCACAAACUCGACGUUAUCGGAACCAACCCGAAGAAGCAAUCACCGGAAAAGAGCAAACAACAUAGUGAACAACCAACACAUCAACAUGGCAUGAUGCACAACCAAGUAUGAUGCAUGUCCGGUUUAAUGAAGCAUGGCCUGGCAAAGUGCACAAACAAUCCUACACAUUAAGUGGAGCACAAUAUGCAACGAGUUGCAUAUUGACGGAACACCACGUGAUUUAUUUAGUUCGACCUCGUUUAUGUACCCAACAAUAUUAAAUGUUGAUUAACAUGGCAAGAGGGUGAAGCAAAUGAAAACUAUCUAAUCUAGGCAAGUUUAAAUGAGGCCGGAAGCAACGAACAACAAUUCCGGAAAAUCCUCAUGUGCAAAUAUUAGGUUUGGUCCUGAUCUGUCCUAAACACAAUUUUAGAGUUGUUUAACAUGCAAAGUGAUGCCACCAUGAUAAACUAGGCAAAAUUCUACCCCAUUUACAUAUAAAGUUUAUUAAAAACGGAGUUACGGUUGAAUAGUUAUGAAUUAAAUCAUUUUAGCAUGGCAUGGGAGCAAAUUUAACCAAACAUCAAUUUAAUCAAUUUUAAUUGUUGUUAUCAUGAUGCGGAUGACAUGAACAAGUUAUGCAAUAUUUAUUAAGAGUUGACAUGAGCAUUAUGAAGCAUUGUCACCGUGGUGGAAGGGAAAAGGGGUGCCACGGCAACGAAUCCGAAAAUGAUGCCACGGCAACAUAUCGGUUCCGGUAACUUGCGGAGAUACCGGCGCAAAAGGAAAAGUGACGGGAGCGUGACAUGCGAUAGGAGGUGGGGUGAUCCUGGAUACCGGGUUCCCACAAGAUGGUGGCAAGGCAAAAGAGGGGCGACGUGCACCGAACAACUGCGACACGGAGCAAACACGAGCAUUUCAUACAUCACACAUGCAUUCGUUCACGGGCAUCGUUCCGGCGGUUAUACCUUUGAAGCGAGCAUCAUCGAAACGGAUCGAGUUCGGCGGUAGAGGUACACGUGUCGACGAGGAAGUAGUUGUACACGGGGUCGUCGUGGGAAGUAGGGGAAGUAGUCGUUCUCGUGAUGGUAGUCGUUCACGUUCACGUUUCACGGGUCUUCGGCGACGGUCGUCGUACGUGGUCCACAAGACGUCGAUCGUUCGGGGUUCGAUUUGCGGAUCUUGCCGACAUGAAGGGGUACUUGGCGUUCUCCGCGAUUCCGAAGACGGGGUAGAGGUACACUUGUUGUAGGGGUACUUGUCGGAUCCACGGGUGUAGUCGUUCACGUUCGGAGGGGAACUUGGCGUCGAGGGGGCUUGGUGCAUCCCAGAUCUUCGGGCUCACGGUACUUGGCGCUUGAGGUUCCAAAUCCAGUUUCGAACGCGUCCACGCAAAACAUCAUAAGUGCAAAGAGGCCACGACUUGGCGCUGUUCCGGUCAUCACGCGAGGACGCUCCUGACGCUCGCGGACGGCGUGGACUUGAAGCGAGGAGGAGGCCACGGCAGGAGGUCGGUAGGUGAGCGUGGGCGACGGCGAGGCGCUCCGGGCGGCGACGGGAGGCCGACGCGAGGAUGACGGCUGCAGGCGCGGGCGCGGGUGCUCCUGGGGGGCGCAGAGGACGACGACGACAGGCCAUGGCAGGGGCGGAGGCGCGGUUCCCUGGACCGGCAGGGCCGCGGCGGCGCUGUGGUGCCCGGCGGCCUCGGCGACGCGGCGAGGGAGGAGAUCCGGCGGGGAAGCGAGGGAGCAGCAGCAGAGCAGCUCGGGCGCGGAGGUUGCAGGGCGGCGGAGUCCCGAGCUCGGCUAGGCGCGGCCAUGGAGGACGUCGGCGCCGAGGCGGGGCGAUGACAGAGGAAAUGGGGUCGUCGUGGAGAGUAUAGGACGAGGCAGGAGGCGGCUUGGAAGCUCGGGCAUGGGCGGAACCGGCGCGAGGAAGAGGAGCCUGGCAUGGCUCCUACUGGAGGUGGCCUUCCUGGAGGAGCUCGGCGGCGGUGGUCGCAGGCCGGCGCGGCGGAGGAAGGAGGCGAGGGGAUUGGGGUGAGGGGUGCAGCACGAGGAAGAAGAGAGCGAGUUCGAGAGGAGGGAGAUGGGAUCGGGGAGAGAUGGGAUCGACCCCUGGUGCGAUGCGUGCGUGAGGCGAGAGGGAGAGGGAGAUGGGUUCGAUCGACUCCCUGGCGGCGCGAGGGAAAGAGCGAGGGAGGAGGGGAUCGGGCCAGGGGUGCGCCUUAGGGUUUGGAGGAGGAAGGGAGAUGGGCCUUGGCCCAUGGUAGGUAGGCCUGGCUGCGGCUGGGCCUAGGAGGUCGCCCAGCGUGGGGAGAAGAGGCCAGAGGCCUGCUGGGCUGCUCUCUCCUCCCCUCUUCUCUUAUUUCUCUUAUUUUGCAGAAAACGAUUAAAGAGAAAGAAAAGAAAGAGGGGGUUAGGGGAAGAAGGUGGGCACGCGAAUAAUUUUCCCGGACUCGCAAAAAUGCACUUGUUCCGAGAAAAAUGAAGUGGGCAAGAUUGCAAGAAUUAAAUUCAAAGUCAUUUGAAUUUAAUUAAAAAGGUUGCACAAGGACUCGGAUUUAGAAGAGUCCAAAAAAUGUUGAGAAUUUAGGAGGAGCCUCGAUAAAUGGGAAAAUAAAUGUUGGCCAAGUUUGGGGACCAAACUUGAAGUAGAAAGGGAGUGGGGAUUUGCAAGUGUGUUCCGGUUAAUUCCAAAAGAAUGGAAUAUUUAUUAUAGCUCCCUAAUAUUGGGAGGAUAUGUUAUAAAGAGAAGUCAUCCUUCCCUCGAUUUAAAUGGAUCGAAGAUCCAUAUGAAUUAUUUAGUUGAGAUGCAAAAGAUUAUGACAUGAUGACAUGAUGCAAUGCACAUGAUGACGUGACAUGAUGCAACACGCAAGCACAUGACAACGCAACAACAUCGAAUGACUGCACGACACCUGGCACAUCGGUCUCGGGGCGUUACAA
Molecule: long non-coding RNA, 8504 nt
Filed under: Triticum aestivum (bread wheat)
Lineage: Eukaryota; Viridiplantae; Streptophyta; Magnoliopsida; Poales; Poaceae
Description: long non-coding RNA (TAES_LNC010973)
Source: RNAcentral